CCCCUCUCAGGGUCGCACCUGGAGAUUUUCCAGUACUGUACCAGUCUCGACUAUGCGAGGGAGAGUCAAGCAGAGGCUUACCCAUUCCAUUUCUAGCUUGAGCAGUGGCUAGCGAGUGGAAGGCAAUCUGCUACAAAU
RNAcentral lists this small nucleolar RNA (138 nucleotides) under Ornithorhynchus anatinus (platypus). Lineage: Eukaryota; Metazoa; Chordata; Mammalia; Monotremata; Ornithorhynchidae. The record is from RNAcentral.